RNAcentral lists this microRNA precursor (97 nucleotides) under Equus asinus (donkey). Its description in RNAcentral is "mir-544 microRNA precursor family". It matches the Rfam family "mir-544 microRNA precursor family". Lineage: Eukaryota; Metazoa; Chordata; Mammalia; Perissodactyla; Equidae. RNAcentral also lists the same sequence under 1 other name. The record is from Rfam by way of RNAcentral.
CUCACCUGUGGAUCUUGUUAAAGUGCAGAUUCUGGUUCAGUAGGUCUAGGUGGGGCCCGAGAGUCUGCGUUUUGAACAAGUUCCCAGGUGAUGUGAU